GGUGGAGUUUCAGUAUUACAAAGCAAUGGAGAGCUUGUGUGUGUUUCAGAGUGUGCGUUAUAAGGGUGUUUUAUGUUCAGUGGAGGGAGGGGAGCUAUUUUUGCACAUGGAAUAGGGUGAGGGAAUGGAAUAAAUUUCCUUUGUGACAGAUUUGUGUGUUUUUCAUAUGAUCUUGGUUUUGUGUUUUAUUGUGUCUUUGUUUUUAUUUGUGAUGUCAUUGGUGUGUUGAGAGUGGAAAUAAAGGAUGGUUAAAAUUCUAAAUUCUGUUCUGCUGUUCUUACAGUGUGGACCAUGGAGGAGAGAACAGGACCAAACCAGGACCCAGGAAAUACGGCUGUCAGCUCACACUGGAUCCAAACACAGCGCACAGAGAGCUGUCUCUGUCUGAGGGGAACAGGAAGGUGACACACACACCGGGGAGAGAGCAGCCAUAUCCUGAUCAUCCAGAGAGAUUUGAGUCUGUGCGCCAGGUUGUGUGCAGAGAGAGUGUGUGUGAGCGCUGUUACUGGGAGGCUGAGUUCAGUGUGUCUGAGAGGUGGGAAGCGGUUUAUAUAGCAGUGACAGAUAAAGGAAUCAGCAGGAAAGGAGAGGUUUCUGACUGUGAGUUUGGAUGGAAUAAAAACUCCUGGGGUCUGAGGUGCUCUAAACUCAGAGACUCUGAUAAACUCAGAUACUCUGUCUGUCACAAUGAGAACCAAACAGACAUACCUGCCCUCACCUCCCCCUACCACAGAGCAGGAGUGUGUGAUGAUGAUGAUGAUGCUGCUAGAGGAGUGUGUGUGUACAGGGUAGGAGUGUGUGUGGACCGUCCGGCCGGCACUUUGUCCUUCUACAGCGUCUCUGACUCUGACACACUGACCCUCCUGCACAGAUUCCACACACACUUCACUCAACACACACCCCUCUGUGCUGGAUUUUAUGUGUGGUACUCCUCACUGUCCCUCUGCUAACUGGAGUAGAGACACACACACACACACACUCACACACACACUCACACACACACACACACACACGCACGCACACUCAAACAUGCAUGUGCGCACACGCAUACACACACACACACACGUGCGCAUACACACUCGCAUGCAUGCACACACACACACACAACACAUUCACAUACCCACUCACACAUACACACUCAGAUACACAUAGACACACACACCAACACCAACACACACACAUCCACAGACACACACAUACUCUCACACACACCCUUGCUCUCUCACACUCACACACAUGCACACACACAUGAACACACACAAUCUCUCGCGCACACACAUACACGCAUGCAUACGUACACACGCUCAGUCACUCACACACACUCCCUCUCUCUCUCACACACAUUCACACAAACGCACGCACGCACACACGAACUCACGCACACACACAUACAUGUGUGCAGAGACACAAACACGUGUCAACACACACACUCACUCAUGUACACUCAUGCACACACACUCACACACACAUACACACUUUCUCACACCCAGUCACUCACACACCCAAUCACACACAUGCACACACACACCUACACAUGGACACACACAAUCUCUCGCACACGCAAACACACACAUUCACCAGUGCACUCUCACGCGCACACGCGCAUGCAUGCAUACUUACAUACGCUCGUAACCGUAUGCACACACACACUCUCUCUGUCUUACUCAGUCACUCAAACACACCCUCUCUCUCUCACACAGACAGACACACUCACAUCCACACAUUCACACAAACGCAUGCACACACACAAAAACUCAUGCACACACACAUACAUGCGUGCAGAGACACAAACAUGUGUCAACACACACACUCCUCAGUGUCCCUCUGCUAACUGGAGUAGAGACACACACAUGCGCGCACACCCACUCUCGCACACUCAGUCAGACACACACACACACACCCUCUCUCACUCACAUACACUCCAUCACACACACACAUACUCUCACACACACCCUUUCUCUCUCAGUCAUGCACACACACUCACACACCUACGCACGCACACUCUCUCACACCCAGUCACUCACACACACCUCCACACAGACACACACAAUCUCACGCACACACAUACACACGCUCAUACCCGUAUGCACACACACACACACUCUUUCUCUCUCUCACACUCUCACAUACAGUAUACAGACACACACAUUUGCAAACGCACGCGCACACACACGCACACACACACUCAUGCACUCACGCACAAACACAAACGUGUCAACACACACACAUUCUCAUUCCCAUACGCACGCACACACAUGUAUACACACACAUUCUAUUACCUAUACACACACAUACACAUACUCAUGCACUCACACAUGCACAGGCAUGCAUACACUUGCAUGCGUGCACACACCAUAUACACAUGUAUACACAAACAUUCUCAUACCCAUACACACACACACACACACACGUAUAAACACACACACAUUCACAAAGGCACUCUCACGCACACACACAUACAUACACUCAUUCUCUUGCACGCACACACUCUCAAAUACAGUCUCACACACAUUCACACAAACGCACGCACACACACUUUCUCUUACCCAUACACACACGCACCUGUGUGCACACAUACUCAUGUACUCAAUUAUACUCUCACACAUGCACACACACAUACAUGCGUGCAUACACACACACACAUUCUCUUACCCAUUCACACACGCAACCCGGGCACACACACACACACACGCAUACUCACGCACUCACACACAUGCUCACAUCUACAGUCACUCCCACAAACACACGUAUGCAUGCACACACACAUUCACAAAUGCACACACACAGAAACACACUCUCACCCAGUCACACACGCACACAUGUCGACACACUUGCAGCCUUCCUUGACCAAUGCCUUACCACUGCAAUUUCAGCUGUGCCCAAUAUUAGCCUCAAUACAGCUUAAACCCUGUACAUGAGAGUAUGAUCUUUUAGCAGGUUCAGGUUAAGCACUCGCUGUCUAAAUAUGAUUUUAUUUUUUUUACAUUUUAAUAAAUUUAUAUUUCAAAUGUUCAAGGUGUGUUUAUGUACUUUUGAUUAUUAAAACAUUAAUAUAACAUUGAGAGUAAUAAUGCCAAAAGAUGGCAGAGUAAAAUGUUUUUGAAGUAAUAAUUCUGUCUCCUGUAUCUGCAUCUUUUUUUAAAGAAGCCAGUGGCAAACUCCUCCACUUAAAUGUGCAUUUUACUAGUUUUUACAGUUGCUUUCAUUCAUUUUCACAAGAGUUCCAAUGUGCAAAUUUCUGUGGGCAAAUGCAGCUGAUAGGGAGAAUGCAGAAUGAUCACUGCAGUGUACUUAUUUCAUUUCAUUACUGUAAACAAUGAUGGAUUGAGUUUCCUUAUUUAUUCUGUUAGGAUUGAUUUUUUUUUGCUUUAAUUUUCUGUAUUUUCAGACAAUAAUAUGCAAUGAUUAAACCUGAAUUAUAAAAAUAUCAAA
Long non-coding RNA from Anguilla rostrata (American eel), 3432 nucleotides. RefSeq lists it as uncharacterized. NCBI's taxonomy places the organism in Eukaryota, Metazoa, Chordata, Actinopteri, Anguilliformes, Anguillidae. The record is from RefSeq and is a predicted model, not a curated record. The transcript has 2 exons.